Molecule: long non-coding RNA, 1167 nt
Filed under: Nicotiana benthamiana
Lineage: Eukaryota; Viridiplantae; Streptophyta; Magnoliopsida; Solanales; Solanaceae
Description: long non-coding RNA (NBEN_LNC025370)
Source: RNAcentral
AUCUCCCCACCCGGUCCAGUCCCCGGCUCCACCAAAACAACGUCGUCUCUGAGAAGUAAUCAUGGCGCUUGAUAAUUGAUCCAAUACACAGAGAUGUCCUAGGUUAAGAGUAUUUAAUGGUCGGAUUAUACCCCCUACCACCGUUUCAUCGCCUCGAACACACCCCUCGCAGACCUUGUGUAACGCUGCCAGUUGUCGCCGGCCAAAAAUUGUCGUCUCUACCAGCCCACCUGCAAACGACACGAGAAUUACACCACUGAUUCCCUUUCUUCUCCUCUAUCCAAAUCCACCAUCCGUUUCUCUAAAACAUCAACCAUUUUAUUCAAAUCUUAAUUCAAAAUUUUCCGGCCACUACACAACGUUCUCAGUUCAUCCCCAAAAUUACACCAUAAGACCGCUUGGCCUUCCUCUAUCGAAUCACCCAAGCCAUAUCCCUCAACUCUCGCCAAAAUUGUUUGAAUAUUAAGUCGAAAUUUUUCGCAAAACCCUAAUUCUCUUAAAACUACCAAAUUGGUAAUAAAAGUCCUCCUUGUCUUCCUCGUGAAGAAUCCAUCAGUGGAAAGGGUCAAACAUCGCCAAAGUUGUUCGAAUUUCUAAAAAUGUUAAGCCAUGUUAGUGAGUUUUCCUUCUCAAUUGUAUUAUUUUUGUUUUCUUUAGUUGUGUUGCUUAUUAGUUUGAUUCAUGUUGUUAAUUACAUUUGUUUUAAUUUCUAUAUGAUUCUUUUUUAUAGUCUAGUUCAAGCCUAACCUAAUCGUUGUUCUAUUAGAAUAAAUGUCUACGUUAAUUCAUGAUUUUUAGUAAUUGUUAUUUGCCCUGUUAUUGUAAUUGUUUUCAAUUUCUUAUUAAAUUGUUUCUUAGUGAUUUUUGUCUAGUUCAGUAUCGUUUUGAUUGUGAUUAGUGGUUUAUGGUAGUUUAUAGCAUAGUGUUAGAUUUAUUAUUGUUUUCUAAUUGAUAAAAUAAUAAGAGCUUGGGUAGGGAUUGCAUUGUUACUGUUGAAAUUCAUGUUUUUGUUAGUUGACCAUGGUUUAAUCAAAGUGGGGGUUAGGUUAGGGGUUCUAGGGAUAUUAAGGGGUAUGUGGGUAAUUGGUGUAGGAAAUCAUUCUAUGAUAUGUGUGCUUUGAUUGUAUUAGCAUGAUUUCCAGGUAUAGGUUUUGAUGAAUGACAAAN